Octodon degus (degu) is the source of this 160-nucleotide long non-coding RNA. RefSeq lists it as uncharacterized. The record is from RefSeq and is a predicted model, not a curated record. Lineage: Eukaryota; Metazoa; Chordata; Mammalia; Rodentia; Octodontidae. The transcript has 3 exons.
AUCCGGUCUAUCUUUAUUGACUACAAUGCAUGAGCCCUGGAAGUGAAAGAUGCUGCUGGGCACAGGAGAAGCCCCCUCUCCAUAUGUCCUUUAGACCUUGGAGAGGAGCCAGAAGUUUUCCAGUGCCAGAUCUGAAUCAGGGAUUGAACUCAGGCCCUUG